GGAUCCAGACUUUGAUUCUGGCUCAUGACGAACGCUGGCGGCGUGCUUAACACAUGCAAGUCGAACGAGAAUCUACUGAAGGAGGAUUCGUCCAACGGAAGUAGAGGAAAGUGGCGGACGGGUGAGUAACGCGUGAGGAACCUGCCUUGAAGAGGGGGACAACAGUUGGAAACGACUGCUAAUACCGCAUGACGCAUAGAGGUCGCAUGAUCUUUAUGCCAAAGAUUUAUCGCUUCAAGAUGGCCUCGCGUCUGAUUAGCUGGUUGGCGGGGUAACGGCCCACCAAGGCGACGAUCAGUAGCCGGACUGAGAGGUUGAACGGCCACAUUGGGACUGAGAUACGGCCCAGACUCCUACGGGAGGCAGCAGUGGGGAAUAUUGGGCAAUGGGCGCAAGCCUGACCCAGCAACGCCGCGUGAAGGAAGAAGGCUUUCGGGUUGUAAACUUCUUUUAAGAGGGAAGAGCAGAAGACGGUACCUCUAGAAUAAGCCACGGCUAACUACGUGCCAGCAGCCGCGGUAAUACGUAGGUGGCAAGCGUUGUCCGGAUUUACUGGGUGUAAAGGGCGUGCAGCCGGGUCUGCAAGUCAGAUGUGAAAUCCAUGGGCUCAACCCAUGAACUGCAUUUGAAACUGUAGAUCUUGAGUGUCGGAGGGGCAAUCGGAAUUCCUAGUGUAGCGGUGAAAUGCGUAGAUAUUAGGAGGAACACCAGUGGCGAAGGCGGAUUGCUGGACGAUAACUGACGGUGAGGCGCGAAAGUGUGGGGAGCAAACAGGAUUAGAUACCCUGGUAGUCCACACUGUAAACGAUGAAUACUAGGUGUGUGGGGACUGACCCCCUGCGUGCCGCAGUAAACACAAUAAGUAUUCCACCUGGGGAGUACGAUCGCAAGGUUGCAACUCAAAUGAAUUGACGGA
This 916-nucleotide ribosomal RNA is filed under the name uncultured Bacteroidota bacterium. Its description in RNAcentral is "bacterial SSU rRNA". It matches the Rfam family "Bacterial small subunit ribosomal RNA", at positions 1 to 917 of the family's 1533-position model. The record is from RNAcentral. Lineage: Bacteria; Pseudomonadati; Bacteroidota.